AUGGGAAGGUCAGAAAGGAACCUGAGGAGGCCGGCCUCGCCCCGCCGGCGCCCCAGCAGCCGCCCCAGCAGCCGCCCCAGCAGCCGCCCGCCCGGCCUGGCCCCCCGCGUGGAGCCCAUGGGUCUCCGGGAGGGCGCCCAGCUCGGCGCAGCCCAGCGCCCCCAGGCCUGGGAGGCCCGGCCCGCCGCCUCCCACCCGGCGCCCCCCCCCCCCGUCCCCCCCGCCGUCCCCGCCGCCUCGCCCCUCCUGCUCCUCAGGCCCGGCUCGCCUCCUGGGACCUGCUGGGCCCCGGGACACCCGUGGACUCCCACCUGCGGCUGCAACGUCGGGGCGCUCCUGCGUGACCUCGGCCGCCUCGGGCCUCCGUCCCCAUCUGGGAACCAUGGGUGGGACCCUGUCCCUCCGGCCACCUCCGUGGGCCCCGGCCCGUCCUGCCGCCUGCCCCGCGGCUGCCUCCCCACGCACAGACCUCUGAGAACGCGCUCGGAGGGAAAAGCAGGUCACGACCACCACCACCACCACCAACCACCACCACCACCACCAACACCACCACCAACACCAACACCACCACCAACACCAACACCACCACCACCACCACCAACACCACCACCAACACCAACACCACCACCACCAACAACAACAACAACACCACUACUACUACCGACACCAACAAUAUCACCACCACCAACAACAACAACAACCACGACCACGACAACGACGACGACCUGGCCACAGGAAGCCCGGCUUGGCAUUCCAGGAAACCACUCGGGGAGCCUGAUGGGGGGAAGCAGAGGGAGGGGGCCACCCCCCCAGAAGGUGCUGUCGCCCUUAGGUGCUGUGGGGAGGCACAGAGAGGAGGUGGCCACGCCAGCCCCCAGGUACCCCAAGCCACCCACCCCUCAGGUCCCAGGAGAACACCCAGCAGCAGGGCUAUGGCUGUCCCGGAGUGCCCGGGCCCCUGUCCACCCACGCGAGGUCAGGGGGCUCCCCAGACAUCUGCCCCCCCGGAGCAGAGACAUGGGGGUGGCAGUUGAGGCACCAGGGCUUGAUGACAGCAAACACCCCACUAUGAGGCACCCCGGGUGCUGGAGAGACCCAGUUAGCGACUCCCUGAGCGGGUCAGCCCCAGUGAGGAGACGCUUGGGAAAGCUUCCUCCACGUGGGUGA
Molecule: long non-coding RNA, 1167 nt
Filed under: Canis lupus familiaris (dog)
Lineage: Eukaryota; Metazoa; Chordata; Mammalia; Carnivora; Canidae
Description: lncRNA (ENSCAFG00845027189.1)
Source: RNAcentral